This 505-nucleotide ribosomal RNA is filed under the name uncultured bacterium. Its description in RNAcentral is "partial 16S ribosomal RNA". It matches the Rfam family "Bacterial small subunit ribosomal RNA", at positions 28 to 507 of the family's 1533-position model. The record is from RNAcentral.
GACGAACGCUGGCGGCGUGCCUAAUACAUGCGAGUCGAACGCACAGUUUAUACCGUAGCUUGCUACACCAUAGACUGUGAGUUGCGAACGGGUGAGUAACGCGUAGGUAACCUGCCUGGUAGCGGGGGAUAACUAUUGGAAACGAUAGCUAAUACCGCAUAAUAUUGAUUAUUGCAUGAUAAUUGAUUGAAAGAUGCUAUUGCAUCACUACCAGAUGGACCUGCGUUGUAUUAGCUAGUAGGUGAGGUAACGGCUCACCUAGGCGACGGUACAUAGCCGACCUGAGAGGGUGAUCGGCCACACUGGGACUGAGACACGGCCCAGACUCCUACGGGAGGCAGCAGUAGGGAAUCUUCGGCAAUGGACGAAAGUCUGACCGAGCAACGCCGCGUGAGUGAAGAAGGUUUUCGGAUCGUAAAGCUCUGUUGUAAGAGAAGAACGGGUGUGAGAGUGGAAAGUUCACACUGUGACGGUAUCUUACCAGAAAGGGACGGCUAACUACGUG